GAAUUUUAUAUAAAAAUAUUUUUAAUUAGUUUAGAAUAAAUAUUAAAUAUUUAAUUGGGAGGAUUAUUAAACUUAUUAAACUUUAAUAUAUAAAAACAUAAAUUAAUGAAUUUUAAUAAAGAUUGAUUUAAAUAUAUAAAGAGAAUAAAUUACCUUAGGGAUAACAGCGUAAUAUUUUUAAAAAGAUCAUAUUUAUAAAAUUACUUGC
This 208-nucleotide ribosomal RNA is filed under the name Apterostigma pilosum. RNAcentral's name for it is "partial large subunit ribosomal RNA". The record is from RNAcentral. Lineage: Eukaryota; Metazoa; Arthropoda; Insecta; Hymenoptera; Formicidae.